Long non-coding RNA from Equus caballus (horse), 4846 nucleotides. The record is from Ensembl. Lineage: Eukaryota; Metazoa; Chordata; Mammalia; Perissodactyla; Equidae.
GAGCCCUGUCAAUCCCAGCCCUCAAAGUCACACGCUGAACCCCUCCUCUACCCACGCAGCUCCACCACCUGUGCACACUUUAUCUGGGAAUUAAAUGAGAUAAUCGUGUAAGGCUCUUGGCGCAUCAUGAGCACUAGUAAGUGUCAGCUGGUAUCACAUUAGCACAGGUGCUCUUCUCUCUUGCUCUCACAAUCCUGCGCGGCCUCACCCUUUCUCCACAGGCCAGAACAGCUCCCUGCAGAAGUUAGCAAAACCAAGUAAAUUGUAAGAUUCAGUUGAAGCAAAGGAAUCAGGCCCCCAUCAGAAGAGAAUGAGAAGAGCGGGGCCAGAGCGGUGGGAGACAGGGUCUCAGGAAUCUGUUCCUGCCUUGGAACUGGAACUGGCCUGCUGUGUGACGUUGGACUGUUAAGAACUAUGCCCCUGGCUCUUCCCUGCCUUCCAGAGCUGGGUGAUCAGCACAUCGCCCCUAGGUUCCAGAGACCUGGACACUCCAAGGAUCUGAGAGGGAUAGAUCGCUCAACUUGGCCGGCCGAGCAAUGGUUCUCAAACUUCACAGACACCAAAUCAGCAGCUUUCACCUGAGCUUCCCCCAGCCCUGCCCCCAGGAAGGAGGGAUGGCAUUGUUCUGUCACACACACCUGCUGGGCACAGAUCACAGGGUCCCUCCCAGGGCAGGAAGGCAUGGGUGGGGCAGGAUUGACUGCCUGGGUCUCAAGAUGAAUUAUUCAUUCCCCGGAACCAGGAAGGGGAUUUUCUUGAGUGCUAGAGACCUCGAUACCUGGUGUACUCUAUUCAAUUUGGCUGGGAGGAAUAGCGGAGUAGCGGAGGUCGGGGGAGAGGGCGGAACCAGAGCAAAACAGCCUUGUGUUAUUAAAGGGAAGCUGCAUUCUAGGCCCUGGGUGUCCCAGCUCUGGCAAAAGAUGACUUGCCAAGCAGGCCCAAGCGGUAACCUACCACCUCCAAUGGACCGUGCAGGUGUAGACAAUGAGCAUGGCCACCGUGCAAGGCCAGUGCACCUUCCCCAAGUGUUCCAGACUUUCUAAGAAAGGCCUGGAGAACUUGACUCACUAGGAGAAGGUGGAGAGAGAACGAGCCCCAAAGAUGAUUGAGAUGGAGUUCUCAGCCCCUGGAGGGGUGGAGGCUCACAGAGACACAUCAUUUAAUUUUAGAAAAAUAAAGUAAUGUAGCAUUACUUGCGCCCGAGCGAUGCAGAGCAGUAAAAUUCCUGCCUGCUACAUGAAGAGCCUCAAAUGAAUGGGAAUGGGUGGCAGCAUUGGCGUCAGUCAUCUCCUUGCACAAGAUCCUUCAGUGGAGUCUUGGCCCCUGUCACUGAUCAUCCUCCACCACCCUCUGCCAGGUACUCAGGCCCCUGUGUCCUUCUACAAGAGUGGUACCUGCUACAGACUAAACUGUGUGUCCUCAAAUUUCAUAGUUUGAAACCCCCACUCCCAGUGUGACUGUAUUUGGAAAUUGAGUCUUUAAGAAGAUAAUUAAGGUUAAAUGAGGUCAUAAGGGUGGGGCCCUAACCUGAUAGGACUGGCGUCUUUACGAGAAGAGAAAGAGACGCCAGAGGCUGGGUGCACACAGAAGAAAGGCCGUGUGAGGAGAGUGAGAGGGUGGCCAUCUGAAAGCCGGGAGGAGAGUCCUCACCAGAACCUGCUCGACCUCUGUCUUGGACUUGCAGCCUCCAGAAUGCUCCAGAUCGCAUUCCAAGAUUCUGCUUCAGGAUCUCCCCUUGCCGUGGCUUCUGGAACAACCAGCCCCAACAGCCCUCUGGCACUGCAUGAUUUCCCUCUCCUUCCUACAGGAGCCCACAAGACUAUGUCCUUCUGCCUUUCUGUGGUCCUGGUGCCUUUAUCCCGAUCCUCUCUUAAUCCCCUCAACACUGUGAUUGUGCAGACAAACUAGUCUAGAUUCAAGUCCAGCCCCACUAAGGCUGUGUGAUCCAGACAAGUGACUUCAUGUGUUUGGGACUCAAUUUACUGUUCUUUGAAGUGAGGAUGACAGCACUUGUCUCCUAGGGCUGCUGUGAGGGUGAGAUGAGGUCCUGGCACACACCUGGGACAUCCUGGCUACACGGUGUUGACCUGAGAGCUCUCCCUAAUAAAACUCUGCAGGCUAACCUCCCUCUCCAAGAGUACUGCUGAGAACCUGACCUGUGAUGGUAGGAGGGUGAGACAUCUGUCGGCUGAUAGGCAGAUCUUCUGUCUCCUGGUUCCUGCCGUUUCCAUGUUGAGGUACAGAAUCAAUGUCCUUGGCCACACCCCAGGGGGAAGGAGACCCCUGACUCUGAGAGAGUAGUCACCAGCCUCUGCUACCGGGCCAGGAUUUCUGCAGCCACUUCACUAUCUUCCCCACCUCUAACAUCCUCCUCCUCGAAUAAGGCCCUUCACAGUAUCCUUGGUGGCAUUCUAAAUCACUAAUCCAGCCUCAGGUCUUUCCUGUGUAAAAUGACUCCUCUUUCCCUAGAGGAGACACUCAAGCCCAAGCUCAUUAACUCCGUUUGGGGCUCCUGCUCGUUCGCCCAGCUGCACCUCUUCCUUCUCUCUUUCCACAACAUUCUGAACUUUGUUAUUUCACACGACAUGUUCUUUCAUCUUGCCUUUUUGCAGGAGUCCUUCUCUCCGUUUGGAACACCUCCCGCUCCUCCUCUGAAACUUUAUCCCACAGGUGAUCCAUCCCUCCUGUUUCCCGUUCCUAGUUCCGUGGUUGCCGGGCCACUCUGCACUGUAACUAUCAGCUCAGUGGGCCGUCUUCCUCGCUCCUCCUUAAGGGUGGGGACUGUGCCCCGGUCAUCUCGGUGUCCCUAGGCCCUGGCGCAGAAGGAAUGCCUUAUACGUGACACAGGAAGCCCCCCAGUCCUAGGCUCUUAAAUCUACCUUUGGUUGGGGAGUGGGUGGAGGGACUAGGGCACCUGAAACUCACUGUUUCUUCCAAAAGCUCUGAGCCUGGGAGGAGCUGCCUGAAUUGCAGGGCAGUUGGGAGCUGGGGAUCUGACCACAGGCAGCGUGUGCCCACAGCCGUCCCCAUGGGAACCAUGUCAGGCAAAGCUCCAGCUUAGAAUGAGCAGCCUGCCUAGGGCCUGAACCCAGCGGGGGCCGACGUGGGCACAGGGCUGGCUUAGGCCACCCGCAGCCCCCCGCCUCAGGGGCCUGUGAGGGGCUGCAGCUGCAGGGAUCCGGUGGGCAGGUUGCCAUGGAAACCAAACUGCUCGCCUUUUCUGGUGCUUGGAGUUCUGACAGGGAGGCCAAACUCCACAGAGCACCCUUGCCCCUGGGCUCCUCCUGGCCCGCUCAGCCUGUGUCCAGGGCACAUCACGGGCACAGAGAUGGCUGACAGGGGCUCGGAGUCACAGGAAAGCAGAAAGCACCAAGAAACUGGCCAUGAUUCUCUCCCUUCCACCUCAUCUGAUUAUUGCCAUGGGUUGGGGAUGGUUACUGCCUGAGAGGAGAUGGCUCACCCAAGGAGCAGUGCCCAAAGGAGGCAAGAGUCACGUCUGGGAAAGCUGUGGUGUCAAGAGCCUUGGUGUAGCAGACCUUGAGUUCUCCUCCUUGUCCUCAUGCUUCACAGCUUCAUUGGUGAAGCCUUUCUACCUCUCUAAGCCCAGUUUCCCCACUCACAAAAUAAGGACCACUUGAUCCACCAGAUAUCCAUCAGGCAUCAUUAUUCAAAGAUGGUCACACAGUAAAGCCCUUACUCCUUAAGUGAGGCCCAAAACGUUCAGUCGUGUAGAAUGUGUGUUGCAUUAUCAUGAGGCUCGUGAAGUGACCAGGGUGAGCCAGCUGCCAAGGAUGAGAGCCAAUCGCCGAUUGCUGUCUGUCUUAAUUUGCAUUAUUAUGGGAUACGCCAUCACAAGACCCAUUAUUGUGGCCAUGUUCAGAAUUAUUUGUUCAGUAUCUCUCUCCCCCACUAGAAUGUGGGAACAUGGCCCUCAAUAAAUAUGUGCUGAAUAAAUGAAAAAACAAAUUCAUAUGAGAGUACAACGUGAGGACCUGCCCUGGUUUGGAGGGUCAGGGGAUGUAUGCUCAAGGGAGUGAUGUUUAGUCUGAAGAGUGAAGGAUGACUAGAGGUCGGUAAGUGAAGUGCGGGAAGGAAAUCAAAUAUAAGAAAACAGGAAAGAAUGAUGUCUGCAAGGGCUUCAAACUGGAAGAGAGUGCGGUGUGUUCAAGUGUCCAAAAGGAACCCGGUGUCACAGGCCGUGGAAAUGGGAGUGGGCUGGAACACUGCCACCAUGAAGCUGAGCCGUCAGGGAGAGCUCGUUAGCUAUUUCUGGGACCUGGGACUUCAUUGUAAUAGUGAUGGGCAGACAUUUAGGGGUUUUCAGCACAGGUGCUUUGUGAACAGAUGUCUGUUAUAAAGAACACUCUAGCUGCUGUGUGGAGAGUGUAUUGGAGAGUGAUAGAGUGACAGUGGGGAAACUGAGGCACAGAGAAAUUAGGUGAUGUCCAAGGACCCAAAACUUACCUACAACAGAGCCCACCCUCCGUGACAUCAACCCCAGAGCUGUUUCCCCUAAUGAUGCCACCUCUGAGAACUCUAAAGUCCAGGUUCUAAGCUGCAAGGAGGGGAGAAAGCAAGCGGAAAGGGUGAUUUCUAAAAGCAGAGAGCAGCCCUUUUCUAGCUGUGAAGAUUCUUUCAAGCGGCAGUGCCAGGGCUUAAUGUACACUCCACGGGCGCUCUGGGAACACCCCCUGAAGUGAAAGGAGUCCCUUCUCCCCGGCAGCCCCUCUCUCUUACUCGCCAGACCAGGACUUGCAAACCUGAGAUCCUGGGAGAUGCAGCCCUAACCAUACUCCUUAAAUAUUGUCUCAAAUUACCAUGUUUGUUAUUAUAUAAAACAUUUAAU